Molecule: non-coding RNA, 792 nt
Organism: Prunus avium (sweet cherry)
Lineage: Eukaryota; Viridiplantae; Streptophyta; Magnoliopsida; Rosales; Rosaceae
Source: RefSeq, a predicted model, not a curated record
UAAUGAUAUUUCAACCCUUGAUGUUGGUUUACCUGGUGGCUGCUUCUCGUCUGGUUCUGAUAUUCUAGCUGUCAAUGAUUCGUUUCAUGAGGUUUCCUUUCAGCCAGACUACUGGGAGAUGUUGUGUAUGCCAAUAAACACUCAAAUCCCUAUUGGCAUGCAAUGAUGGGUCGCAAAUCUUCAGAUAAUCUGGAGUUUCCGAUUCUUUUUCCCACAAAGUUCUUGAAUAAUUUCAUUGGUGACCAAGAUUAUUAUCCUGUGUAGAAACAACAUGCACUAUACUUUCAGGUUCUCUAUUCUACUAGAGCCAUUGGGAGGAGUGUAUGACAUUGAUAGCUAUAGUGGAGUAAGAAGUGAGAAGAACACUGAAUUACUCCAUGGAUGGGUAGUAGGUUUUUUCUGCAUUAGUACUGCAGCAUAGAUAGUGAACCGCAACAUUUUAGUUGUAGGAGAACAUCGUGUUGAUGUGUAAAUUGGUUUACUGAUUUACUGUUACUGUUUUACUGCUUUACUGCUUACAGCUGGAAUGUCUAAGUAACAGCUUAGAUGUAUUUUCUGCUAGGAGAAUUUUGUGUGGCUCAAAUGCCUAUAGGAAAUUGCCAAGUGUCAUACACACAUUGGUGGUUCAAUUUUGUACCUUUGCUGAUGUAAAUCGUUUGAUAAAAAGAAGAGAAAUAUAGCUGAGCUUUUUAGCACAGCAGCUAAUACGUUUUUCUGCAGAAACAUAUAUUCUUCCAGCUCCUUCUCUCAUCUCCUUCCCUUUUUCUCCCUAAAAUCCAAAUCAGUACCUAA